Long non-coding RNA from Zeugodacus cucurbitae (melon fly), 14469 nucleotides. RefSeq lists it as uncharacterized. The transcript has 2 exons. The record is from RefSeq and is a predicted model, not a curated record. NCBI's taxonomy places the organism in Eukaryota, Metazoa, Arthropoda, Insecta, Diptera, Tephritidae.
UAAAAAAUAAUAUUUUAUUCUAUAAUUUAAAAAUUUGCACUUAUUUGAUACUUCUCUUUUUAUGAUUAUUUUUUUUAUCAAAUAUUUUUUUUUUGGGAUUUUUUGCAUUUUCAAAAACAAACAUUUUUAAUUCACCUAAACUAAGAAAUAAUCUAAAAUGUAAGAAAUCAUUAAAAAUAUAUCAAAACACUUCAGAAAAUGUCAGCUACAUUAAUAUAGUGGAAGUUCUCUAACUCGAAUCACCAUAAUCUACAAAAAAACUUCAAGUUAGAGAGACUUUGAGUUAUAGAAUUUUCAUUAAAAUAUACAAUUUCUCAAAAAGGAAAGUCCGAUUUAUGGAUGGAAAUUGAAAUUUAACUACUAUUGCCAAUUCAAACGUUCCAGUUAUGGAGAAUUUUGAGUUAUGGAAAUUCAACUGUAUUUUGAUGUUUUUUUUUCAAAUAUGCUUUUAAAAAUAUUUUCAAUUCACCUGGUUUUAUGAAAAACUUCAUUAAAAAUAUAAUGAAACUCUUUAGAAAAUGUCAUAUACAUUAAUAUUUAAAAUAUAUACAUACAUACAUACAUAUGUAAACGAUUUUUUCAAGUUUACGAUUUUUUAUGAGUUUAUCAAAGUCCUCGCUCUUGCUUUAAGAGCCCUAAAUUACAAACAUUUAAUAAAAAAAUUAUAAUUCAAAAGUAUUUAAAUCAUUUUUUUUAUUACCAAUGGCUCUAUUUAGUUGCACGCAACUGUAAGAAAUUAUAUAAAAUAUUUUAGUAUAAAUUUUAUAAAAAAAUAACUUAUUGCGAAGAAUAUAUGAAGUAAAAUGAGUCAUUAUAUCUACAUAUAAUAUUUUAAAAGCAUAUAUAAAUUUAAUCUAUCUGUGUUCUCGGUUGUUAACUCACAAAUUAACAGCAUUUAAGGUUAUUAAACAGACGAAGGUGUUAAUUGUUUUAAAUGACAUUCAUUUCAUACAAAUACGUCAUACACUUAGGUAGGUCAAGGCACUAAAUAACAAACGUCAAAUGCAUUUAGGGCACUGACUUUUUACAUGUCAAAUAUUAUAUCAAAUCCGCGUUUUAAUUUCGCCACUUUUUACAGUGAGUCAAAUAAUAUAUUUACAAUUUUGAAAGAGGUGAUUGUAAUAUUCAUAAUCGUACUUGACUUAAGGUUACAGUAAACAUUUGGAAUGGGUGUUAUACUUAUCUUUGGAUUGUAUACAUAUAUUUUGUUAUAAUUUGCUGUACAGAAAAUCAUAUUUCGAACCAUAUUAAAUUAAAAACAAGAAAAAACGUUAACUUCGGCUGUACCGAAGCUAAUACACCCUUCAAAGGUACAUUUCUUUUAGUAACUAUGUUUUUAAGCAAAUCUAAAGAAAAAAUUUUACUAAUUCUUUUUAGCCGGGUUGUUUUCUAGAAACAUUAAGGUUAUAUAGUUAACCGAUCUGAACAAUUUCUUCGGAGAUUAUAUUAUUACCUUAAGCAGUAAUCCAUGUAAAAUUUCGUGAAUAUACCACGUCAAAUGCGAAAAUUUUCCAUACAAGCCAUUGAUUCCGAUCGUUCGGUUUGUAUGGCAGCUAUAUGCUAUAGUGAACCGAUCUAAACAAUUUUUUCGGAGAUUAAAUUAUUUCUAUGAACAAUAACUCACACCAAAUUUCGUGAAGUUAUGUGGUAAAAUGCGGAAGUUGUCCAUACAAGCCCUUGAUUCCGAUCGUUCAGUUUGUAUGGCAGCUAUAUGAUAUAGUGGUCCGAUAUCGGCAGUUCCGACAAAUGAGCAGCUUCUUGAAGAGAAAAUAAUAUCUGCAAAAUUUCAAAACGAUAUCUUAAAAACUGAAGGACUAGUUCGUAUAUAUACAGACGGACAGACAGACGGACAUGGCUAAAUCGACUCAGCUCAACAUACUGAUCAUUUAUAUAUAUACUUUAUAGGGUCUCCGACGCUUUCUUCUGGGUGUUACAAACAUCGUGACAAACUUAAUAUAUCCUGUCUGUUCAGGGUAUAAAAAAUUUAAAUUGGUUUAGGUGGCAACUCUCUUAUUUUCUUCUUAAGUUUUUUUGAUGAUUUUAAUAUUAAAUUUAGUCUCUCACUUUACUAACUGAAAAAAAAAUUAAAUAAAAAAAAAUAGCUGGCAACUCUACUUUACUGGCUUUCUUACAAAACUUUCCUUCUAAACAUAUGUUUGGCUUAGAUUAGCUUAUAAAUUCUAUAUUUCCAGCGUUUGUAUGUACUCUAACAUCACUGCCGUUAGUAUUUUGAACCCAAAAAAUCAAAUACAAUCGCUGCAACGGUAUUUAUAGAUAACAUACAUACAAACAUAUAUACAGACAUAUGUACAAAACAUUCCAAUAUGAAGUUAGCAAUAAGACCUUUUCUUUCCGAUCAGAAAAAAACACCAAUUGUUUGUAUUUCCUUAUUAUUUUGGAAGAAAGGCGGAAAGCAAGGCAAGAGAAGAAAGAAAGGUUUGUAUGCCUCAUUUCUCUAGCGCAUAGUAUUUGUGUUAACCUAAAAAUGUCUGGCUUACGUUGCUUAUUGCUUUAACUAACGAUUGUAGGCUUACAAACAUACACACACACCACAAAGUGUCGAUAAUUUCCUUACCAAAUUCCGCAUACGAAAUUCUGAUAUUCUUCUCAACAACAUCCAUUCACUUUCUUCCGCUUUCUGCACUGCUGCGCUGCCGCUGCUACUUCUUCAACAUCACCCAACUCUGCUUCUGCUGCUUCUUCCUCUUAUUUUGCUGCUGCCAAGCAUGCUUCUUGGCCUUUUGUUCACACAAACUUUUUGAUAGCCAUAAAUAUAAAGCCAAAAACAAAAAAGGCGAACAUUAACCUGCACAGCAGCAGCAACAGCAACACAAGUAACAAUAACAACAACAACACCAAUAACAACAAGCAGCGCAAACUUUUUGUUGACAGCUGACAAUGAUUUGCCAUUGUUGGGCGAGCGCAGUUUGAAGGCCAGCAGCGCGGGGGGGCGGUCGCUCGCAUAUGUAAGAGUUCAGCAAUUGUUUCUCUGUAUGUAUGUAUGUGUGUGUGUAGUAGUGAAGCCAGUUUGCUGCUCGGUGCUCUUAUUUGCAUUUUCGCUUCCGACUCGGCCAAGUCAAGUUGACCGCUGAACCACAUAGUGUUUUGACUUCUAAAUGCUGGUGCUGCUGCUGCUCGCAUUGGUGUUGUUGUUGUUGGUAUUGCGGCUGCUUUUUCAGUGUUUAUUGUUUUUACUAGCGCGUUGUAGUUGUUUCUGUGCUGUGCUGCACAUCGGCAUCGUCAACGGUUGCUCGGCAGCAGCAUUGAAACAAACCAACAGCAAGAGCAACAACAACAACAACUAUAACAACACGAAUAAGCAGCAGUGAGCUCUUAACAGGUUCAUUGCACUCAGCGUCGCUGCCACCGCACCGCACUCACGCAGCGCAGUCGAGCGAACAGCUUCAAUUCACUCCAAUUCUUUGGCUGCACCCGCUUGCCGCUCCAACAACAAAUUGUGGCUCUCCACUUGGUGUGUGUGUGUGUGGAGUUCUUUCUUUUUUUUCUUUCUUAAGAAAAGCUGUGCGCGCUGCACCUCUUUCUUUUCACAGGCGCUGCUGCAUGGCCCUCACGCUCUCCAUUCCCCUCCUCCACACACACUUUUGGCAUUCUUAUUAAUAUGCUUCGCUUUAAUGUUUAUUAUUGUUGUUGUGGUUUUUGUUUUUCUUGUUGCUGUUGUGGUCUUUUACCGAUUGUGCGAACUUCUUUGACUUCUGUGGCGACUUUUUCUUCCUCUGGUACUGCUGCUGCUGCUUCUACUUCUUCUUGUACUUCGUUAACAUACAAUAUUUUUGUUGUUGCCUGCUUGCCAGCCUUUCUGCCGAAUUAUUUGUUGUGCUUUAGUACGCCAAACAAGUUGGCGGCUCGCCAUUUGCUUGGCCGUGCAAAACAAGUAAGAGUCAGCCAAAAAAUGUUCUGAAGGAACUUAAGGAACUUUUAAAUGCAACAUAAAUACACGCGCAGAAGAAGAAGAAAGAAAGAAAGAAAGAGGCAAAGCAGCAGACUGCAACAAGCACACAGCACAGUUAUUGCAGCAAGUUGUUGUUCUUCGUUCGUUCGUUCUUUAACCGGUUUGCCGGCCGAAAACGUCUUCAUUAUCGACAUUUUAGUCGCUCAGUUACCAUCGCCAACCAGGCGAACAGACCAGACCAGGCCAGACCAGGCCAGACCAGCACUUGUAGACGCGCUGCUCUUGUGCAAUGUUUCCUCGCUGCAAUUCUUGCGAAAACUGCAGUAAAUGUGUGCGAGUGAUUGAACCCUGUAGGGAUUCAUCAACUGACUUCAAAAUAAUUUUAUAAAAAAUAUUCUCGACUGUUUGGAAUAUGUUGCAUAACAGUGGAUUGAUUUUAACAUUUUAACACCUGUUCAUAAUUUCGACUAAAUCAUGUUUGGUGUAUGUAAUUUCACUGAUUGUCAUUAUAAUUACCAAACAACAAUAAUUUAGAUGUUAAAAAGAAUAUUAUUUUUAACAAAAAAAAAUGUUUGAAAUGAAAUUUUCGAAAAUUCAAAAAUAUAUAUAUUUUUUUUUUAAUUUUAUUUGCCUGAGUUGUAGAGUCUUUUUCAAAAUUUGUUCGUUUUACAAUUACAUUUCAUGUAAGUUGUAACAAAUAUUACUCAUAAUAAGAAUAUUUUAUUACAUUUUAAUUAUAUACCAACUGAACUGUCACAAUAAAUUUCAUUAUGUGUCAAAUAAAUUACUUACUUUAAUGUAAAUCCACAUCAUUUAUGCAACGACAUUUAAGUUAAAUUUAGUAAUUUAAGCUCUAAUAUGAACAUACUUUAAGGAAGUGUCUCAAAUAGUAACUUACGAGCCAUACAAUGAUCUUUGCUAUAAUUUGCGGAGCUAAUUUCUAUCGACUUUCGAUAGUUUUGUCAAUUUAUUGUUUCAUAUAUUGAAUAAAGUACUCUCAGAGCAAUUAAUGUGACCAAUAAAUGCAGUUCUAAUUAUAAGAACUUGAGUAAAAGUAUAGUAAAUUUGGGUAUUCUGCUGUCUCAAGAAGAUCUUGAUUGUUUUUAAACUUUGUGGAAACCGGAUGAUUAAAGAAUCCUAUCUUUAGUAGUUUGUUGGCUUCCUAGAGAACAUCUGUGAGGAAAAACUUAAACAUUUUAACAUUUGUGCCUUUUAAAGACUUCGUCACUAACUACUAAUUAAUUCCUUUUGGUGUUUGGACUAAAAGUCAGAGGCAUUGCUGAAGAUUUAGUUCAAAUUAUAUGAGACUCUGAUCUUUUUUCUGGUUUGCUGAAGCAAUUCAUGCAAGAUUUUACUGUCUUAGUUCAUAUCGAACUACACUAGAAGCAUUCAGACUAUUAUGCCCGGUUUCACAGUUCGUACUUAAGUUGUGCCCAAAUAAAAUCUUAGCUAAGCAUUGUUGUUGACUGAGUAGUCAUUUGCGUUUCACAGUCGAUGCUUAUUUUCUUUAAAAUUCUAUUAUGAUAUAUGGCAGCACAAUGAAAAAGAUUUGUUUACAAAUACCAUCUGACAAAUUGAAAUUAUUGUUGAUGAAAAAUAACUUUGCGAUGAAUAAAUGUAGAAUCUGGGAAAUGGAUGGAAACAAUAAAAGGACACCGAAUUUCACCGCAAGCGAGUGGGGCACCUAUUGCAACUCGCAGGAAAGCAUAUAACCGUCAUUGAAUGCAAGAAAUUCCAAAAAAAUUUUCAGCAAAUAUUUUUUAUUUUAUUUUUUUGACAAAUAAGUCAAUAUUCAAAACAAAAAUCAGCUGUUACUUAAGCACUGCUUAAAUCUCCUAUUUUCAGUACUUAAGCAGAACUUAAGUAUGAACUGUAAAACGCAAUAUUUCUGUUUUAUCUUAAGCACUACCUAAGCACUGACUGUGAAACCGGGCAUUAUAAUUUUCACUCGAACUCCAUGACAGGGUCAGCCUCAGAACCUAACCUAACUUAACUAUGGCAUAAAAGCGUAUUUACCGACUAUUACAGUGUUUUAGAAACAGUGGACUAUAGGGUCUUUGCCAUAGAGACACAAAUACUUAUUUUGACAGCCAAAUGAUUCCGGAAAAUUUUUAUAUAUGUAUGUUACAAAAUAUAUUGAGAAAUUUAUCCUCACUUUUGAUUACAUCGAAGAAUAAACCGAUUGCAGUCUGAGAACUGUGAUACUAAAUCUUACUUUUUAAUUUCUUUAAAGAAUUUGUUGAUUAAACCGAUAACGGUACUAGGACACUAUAAUUGAUAAUAUAUAAGAUCUGUCUAGGUGAGUUCUUCACGUGGAAAGCUGUUUUUUCGUACUUUUCUCUUUACGCAAAGAGAAGAAAAAAGGUCCUAAAGGGUCGUCGUUCUAUCAGCAUAUGAGAAAUCACUGAAAGAGCAAAAGACUAUCCGAAAAAUUGAAAUUGAGAAAUGUUUCGACGGUUGAAAGAAACGCUGGCAUAAGUGCAUAAUAUCGAACUGAGACUAUUUUAAAGGUGACAACAUUAUUUCUGAUGAAUGAAUAAAAAUUUUUUCAAAACCAAAAAUUCCCGUUAUUUUUUGAACACCCACUUUUCCUUCUCCAAUGUUUAAAGCUUGAAGCAAUGCCAACAGUUCGUAUCUUAAAUAUAAUAUUUUCGCCACAUUUAGUAAUGGACUUCUUAAUUAUAAAAGAACAACUAAACAAUAAAAUAUAUAUUUUUAUAAAAAUUGAAUUUCGCCCUGCUGGGUAGAUGUACCUUUAAAUAUAAAUACUUUUCAAUUUGCGUACACUUAAACGAGACGACAAACAUACGAGCGCAUACGAGUCGAGUAUGAGUAUGAGGUUGGUGUGUUAUGUCAGUACCCUUGCUUGCAGCCAGUACCUGUUUAUAGCACUUCCAAACUCACUCACACAUACAUACACAAUGCACAUAUGAAUGCUUGUACGCUUGUGUUGUCGUCUCUACAUAUAUGCAUUUCCUGCAUAAUCUUUUGUAAAAGAAAGCACUGAAAAAUUACGGCAAAAAACCACAGCAGCAACAACAGUGAUUGCAACGACGAAAGCAUUCGCCGCCGCCGCCGCCACACAACCAUCACCAGUUUUGCAAGUAAUUGCACUCAAGCGGAAGGGUUAUAUUGGGGCAACAGAGUCGACACUAACACCAAUAACAACAACAACAACAGCAGCAACAGCAGCAACACAAGUGACUGCAAAGCGACAAAAACACACCAACUAAAUAGCAGACAGACAGACAGGAGCAAUGCACUGCUACUGUUGACUUUACGCCAAGCAAAUGCAAGCGCAAGAGGCAGGAAACUUUCGACAGCAAGGGUAAAGGCAUGCUUAAAGCAAGAACAUGCAUGUAACCUGAGACUUACAUAAAUGUGGUCUUAUGCCGCUUUAGUUGGUGUAUGUGUGUGUGUGUGUGUGCAUGUAAAAAUCGUGUAGUAUUAUUUAAAGGACGUGUUAAAAUGCAAAAACAACAGCAACAAAAAUUUCAACACAUUUAACUUUUAAUUUACAGCACACCUUUAACGAUCAUUGCGCUUCCGCGCUGAGCAAACAAGAUCAAUUAGUCACCUUCGCUUUUUUGUUGGUGUUAUUGUUUUUUUUUAUGUUUUACUGCACGGAAGUUCAUAUCACUUAUAAUUAGCAUUUUUCGGUUAAUGAAGUUGCAUUUCAAUUUUAUCGAUGUACUUUAACUUGUAGUUGCAAUAAGCCAUGAGCAGGCUGUAAGUAAUGAAUUAUUUUAGAUUUAACAAAAAAAAAAAUAAUAUUGCUUUAAACCGGUCUGAGUAAUCUGUUACGAUUUACGAAUUUUUCGAUCUCAAGUUCAUUUGUGUCUUUAAGCGGAUUCUUAUCUGAAAUUAAAUCGUUUUCGAGUACUUUUGGCACAAUCGACCUCUGCUGGGCAACGAACCUUCUCAGAGGUUAUAAACUGAUAUAGUCAAAGCAAUACCAUCAAGAAGCUUCCUAUACACAUCCAGCAGCUAUAGAACCUUGGAAGUUUCUGAAGUAAAAAAGUAACACUUGAACACUUAGGCUAUACAUAUGUAGGUGGAAAAGUCUUUAAGGGGUUAUAACAGUGUAACCCAUGACAAAUUUGGCGAUUUUCGUGGAUUUUUUUUUAUAAGAAAGUACUCGAACGAAUGUUGCAAAGUUUUUUGUAUAUAAUAAGGUAUAUUUUCAGAAAUAUUAAUACCCUGAACAGGGUAUAUUAAGUUUGUCACGAAGUUUGUAACACCCAGAAGGAAGCGUCGGAGGCCCUAUAAAGUAUAUAUAUAAAUGAUCAGUAUGUUAAACUGAGUCGAUUUAGCCAUGUCCGUCUGUCUGUCUGUCCGUCCGUCUGUCUGUAUAUAUACGAACUAGUCCUUCAGUUUUUAAGAUAUCGUUUUGAAAUUUUGCAGAUGUUAUUUUCUCUUCAAGAAGCUGCUCAUUUGUCGGAACUGCCGAUAUCGGACCACUAUAUCAUAAAGCUACCAUACAAACUGAACGAUCGGAAUCAAGGGCUUGUAUGGAAAACUUCCGCAUUUUACAACAUAUCUUCACGAAAUUUGGUGUGAGUUAUUGUUCAUAGAAAUAAUUGAAUCUUGGGGAAAAUUGUUCAGAUCGGUUCACUAUAGCAUAUAACUGCCAUACAAACAUAGUUACUAAAAGAAAUUGACCUCUGAAGGGUAUAUUAGCUUCGGUACAGCCGAAGUUAACGUUUUUUCUUGUUUUGAAAUAUUUUUUUUACAAAAAUAUUGAAAAAUAACAGUGUUAUGUGCUGCCAACUGUUGGCAUGAUUCCGGCCGAAUGAGUAGCUGAAACAAAAAAGUUCAAAAAGGUUUUAAAAGUUGAAGGCAUUUCCUAUACAAUGACCUAGAGUUUUUGAAAAAUAUCAAAAAUUAACAAAAUGACGUAGUUUUGAAAAAAGGUCGUUUUUAAUGCCAAAAUGACAACAAAUCAAAAAUAUCAUAGGCCAUUGUAUAGUAAAUAUAUUCAAGUAUACUCAAUUUCAAUUUGAAGUCGAUGGGUCAAUUUCUUGUUGAGUUAUGAUGUCAGCAAUUUUAAGAAAUGUCGUUUUUUAAAAACGUGUUUAAAGUUUCGACUAUAGCUGCUUGUACCAGCGAGCGGUCGAUCUUUAAAACGCUGCCAUUCAAAGACUAAUCAAGAUACUAUCUUACCGCUUUCACAGAUUAUUUUUGAAAGUAUUAACUAUCGAAUAAGCAAAAAACGAUUUGUUGAAAGUAUCGUACUGGUAUAGCCCCUUAAUACUACAGGACUAAACUAUAUAUAUGCGCAUAUUGAUGAAGAAAAAAAGGACGAAUAUUAUUUUAUAUGAAAAUUACCUUAUUUAAGCCAUAAAUCGAAUGAUCUCAUCUGCCUUAAUUAGAUAGUCUAUCGAAAACAUUCUGCAUUAUAAAUAACAAGGAAUAAAAAUGAAAAGAAAACUCUCAAAAAUCAUUACGAUUUCAAUAAUGAAAUGAACUUUCCAAAUUCUGUAAAUAUCAAACCUUGAAUUAGCAUUUACACUGUUUUGUCGAAGGAAUGAAUCAAAAUAAAUUAUUUUGCAAUUGGAAGAAAAUUAUGCUUUUGAAGGACUUUAUACAAUUUGAUACCUAUAGAUUGGUCUAACCUUAUCUACAAGUGACCCCAUAUGACCUUAUUAAUGGUUAGCUCUUUAAAAAAUUCUCCAAAUAAAUCCAAGAGAGGGGAUCAGAAAUCAAUUUAUGCAGAAAAACAUAACCUAAAAAUAUCAUUUUUAAAAAUUCAGUGGACAAACCUAACCUCAAUUUAAUAUUUAUAUUUUUAGAAGGAACUAUAUCAUCUGGAGCAUUUUUAUAAGUCACUACCAAGUAACAAAAGAGCAAAAUAUGGAUUUUAUUCAAUUAGUUUCUUGAGUUAAUCUUAGCUUUUUAUCGAACCUACAUUGGAAAAAAAGUUUUUGUCAAAUUCUGAAGAUAAACAUAACCCCAAAAUAGCAUUUUUGAACAAAUCUAUCGAUAAACCUAAACACAAUAUAAUUUUUUGCUGCAACUUUCUAGAAUAAAAACAAUUUUUUGAGAGCAUUAGAGCUUAGAUGAAUUUUUUUUAACCUAAUCUCAAUUUAUGAUUUUUUUUAAUAUAAAAAGAUGGUUUUAAGUACAAAUUGAUGCUUAAAGAUUUUAGAGAGUUUUUUUUAAACUGAUUACCUUUUGUUUUGCUAACAACUCUUAUAUUUUUUAAGGGUUGCCAAAAUCAUCCAUUAAUUUAAUAAAAAAAAAAUCGGAAAAAAAUCAGUGCACUGGACUCACUAAAAAAAAAAUGAAAUUAUGUUAAUAGAACUUUUGUCCUUAAUGUCAUGCAUUCACUUUCCUCACCGGUUUCAAUAACAAAUGAUGAGUGAUCGAUGUGUGUGUGCUCAUAUCAAAUUUCAAAUAUACCCUUCGCAGAAGAAUGAUUUUGUCCCCACAUUGACAUGCCAAUUGGAAAAGUCAGCCUUGCCGCCCCAAAUACCCCGAAUUCGCUGUCUGUCUGCAUAACUACUCAGUGUAGGCUUGGCAGCAUUCACGGUCUCAUUUUUUAUUAAUAUUUGCGCUAUUCCUCUUUUUUCAUGCCUUUUGUGCUGUUGUUGUUGUUGUAGACACACACAUACUAUACACUCUGGGUAUAUUGUACAUUAUUGUGUUGACUUAAGUAAUUCAAUGUUUGCUAAUUUUCGGUAGUGCUUGACUUUUGAGCCGCCAUUGCCCGCUAACAAACGCCCCUACCCACUCGCAAAUGCGACACGCAAACGCUCGCAAACAUUAUGCGAUGCACACACACAUACAUCUACUUAUGUAUGUAUUUUUGGUAUUUUGUUUAUUUUCUGCUUUUGCUUGUGUUCUGCUGCUUCGUUUUUUUAGUUUUAUUGCAUACAUAUUUGGUGUGGCGGCACAAGGACAAAUGUUGCUUAUGCUAAUGAACUCUCAUCCUGCCAAACUGUAGUCGAUUUGUUGUUGUUGUUUUAUUCUUAAAUAUUUCUCUUGCCUGCUACUGUUGCUAACUGUUUUGUGUUUGUAUUUGUUGUAUUGUUGUACUCGUGCAAACAAUAUUUGUAAUCUGCUUGUUGUUGUUAUUUGCUCGCUUUACAUUUGCUUUUGUUUCUCGCUUUGCACCGAUGCUGCUGCUGCUGCCGUGGCACAAAAGCAAUGAGCAGGCAUAUAUUAAGUUGGUAAGGAAAGUGAAAACUUUUAGCAAAACUUGCAGAAAUUUUAUUUAUUUAUUUACUUUGGUUGUUUGGUUGGUUGCUGUUUGCUCCUCUGCAUACUGAUGCGCGAGAACACCAACGUUGCAAUGGACAGACAGAUUCCUACAAGGGCAAGUGGGUUAACAAAUAUUUGUACAGUGAAGCGCAUAUUUUUUUGGGAACCAAGUUGGAAAUUGUUAUUUUUUGUUUUUGUGUGUUUGUAGAAAAAAGGAGUUAAUGAUGUUAAUUCUGGAGAAUUGAAGUCAAAAUUUUAUUUUUAUUUUAUAUUUUUAUGUUUCUUUAAUCAUAAAACAACUCUGUAUAACUUUUGCUUUCUUCUAAACUCAUUAGAUCAGUCCUUUUUAUAAAGGUGGUCGAAUGAUUUAAGUAUAACUUCAACUUUCUAUUGUGUCAUCUGAUCUAGAAUAGAACCAAACCUUUUCCGAAACAAAUUUGUUCAAAUUUUGGGAAUCGUAAAAGUAAUUUUAUGUUUCCAGAAAUCAAAUGCUUAAACCUCAGCGGUUAAUUAAUAAAAUUAUUGAAAUUAUCUUUGUCUCGACAGCAUCUGAUUUCUAAAAUUUUUCCUUACUUUUCUGGAUAAGACUUAUCGCCCUUCCAGCAAAUGGGUUCGAUCUACAAGACGCAGUGUAUAAGACCAUAAUUUAAGCCACAGUUAGAGUGUAUAUCGCAUUCCCUUAGAAAUAAAAUGCCUAGUACUUUUCAACUAGUAUUGUCUAUCUUCAGUUGGUUCUCUGCUUGAAAAAAAGGUUUUUUUAGGGUAGAAGUUGAAAUAAAGCGAUCGAUUUUCGUCUCGAUUAGACUUCACGUAAUCUCUAAAGAUAAUUGCUAAUUACUUCAUUGAAGACCUCCCUGUUGACGUUCAAUUCUGCAGAAUAGCUUCUUCAAACAUGUUCCAUAGUUUCAAGAACCACUGAAGAGUGUCAUAAGAACUCACAGAACUAUUAAAAGUUGUAUUCAAUGAAAGAAUUGUUUUAUUAAAAAGCUCCAUUUUACACGACUCGAGACUGGUGUAAAUUCUUCCCGAUAUCUCACCAAACUGAGACCAUAGUUCAUUCGAAAAAGGUUUGGUUUUGAGUCAUGAGCUGUGGUAUGGUUUAAGGUAUUACUUUAGACAUUAAAUUUCUCAAGAAUCUAGAAAAAAUAUUUCGAAGACAUGUUUUAUAGGUUUUCGGAACCACAAAAAGAUACCACCAGAAAGAAAAUCUAUUAUUAGCAAUAUGCUAUGGAGGUUUAAUUCUAUCAUUGGCAUUAUUGAUUUAUUAGUAAAAUGUAAAAAUUUAUCGAACUUCGAGUCUCGAAGACCAAUAUUCUGUGCGUUUGUUCCAAUAAUUGUGUUCCAUGAUCUUUUGGUUAACUUUUUCGCAUUUCUUUUCAUAACCGAAUCUGCGAAUAUUGUUUAUACUCAUCAAUUUCAAGAUUAUUGCAGCCGAAGCAUCGAGGAAUCUAAUUGAAAGCGUGUAAGAAAGCAAGUUAAAGCUUGAGCUCUUGGGUAUUUCAAAAGAUUGUCUGUCAAAUAUUAUAUUUUAUAAUACUAAGAUUUAUUUACAAAAAUAAAAUAUCUUAAUUCGCUCACUAACUCCAUUUCACAGCAGUUCCAUUAAAAAUCAUUCCACUUCCACCAACAAUCAGCACUGUAUCCAUUGUUAAGAAAUCCCAGCGAUUUUUUCUGAAAAUUUCCAUCACCUUUUUGGCAACAUUUCUAUUUUUUUACCCCAAUUUCUAUUGAGCACGUAAAAAAAAAUGAAAAAAAAACUGAAAAAAAAAAUUAUAUUUAUAUUUACUUUAUUCAUUUCCUUAAUUCACCUUCACCGCCAUUGCCAACCAGCGUUCACAACGCUCACUCUAAGCCUUGUCGCCAUUGUGUGACGGGCGUUCAAAUCGAUUUGUGCUUUAUUCGUACUUAUCAAUCUUGCGAAGCUGUUAACAUUUCUCAAGCAAAAAAACACGAAGUAAAAUGAAAAAUAAAAAUAAAAAGAAAACAACAAAAAAGGUUAGAAAUGGCCUACCGAAAGCCGUGUGCAGUUCAAGGUCGCGCAAUGCACGCACGCACACGCACCGCGCCGCACCGUGUGCAGCCUACAUACAAAUGAGGUGGCUGGAAAAAACACGAAAAAUACAAUAAUUACAACAACAACAACAGACAAAUCACAUAAAUAAAUAAAUAAGUAGACAACGAAAAGCCGAAAAGGCUAUACAAGUAGCAACAACAACAGAGGUGCUCGGUGUGUGAUUGCACAAGCCGCCCUAUACCGCGCCGUUCAACAGCGCGCCACCGCCGCGUGCGCUUGCUCGCAUGCAGUUAGGCGCUUAAGCUUGCAAUUUGUUUUGUUGAAUAUAUACAUAUGUAGAGACGCACAGCUGUUUCAUAAGCGCCGUGUUGAUACCUAUGCGCCAUGGCGAAAUUUUCUGCAAACUACAACAACAACAAAUAUAUUUUGUAAUAAAAAUAAAUAAAUUAUUACCAAUUUGCAUUCCGCAGCUGCUGCUGAGGGCUCUGAGGAGGCAAUCAUAUGCAUAUAAUAUACAUACAUAUAUCCUCAAUCCACUACAAAAGCAACAAUAAAAAGCGCUACAAAAAUAUUCACGCUAAAUACCUGAACUGAACGCGCUGUGGCAACACCACCUAAACAGCAAACAACAAACGGUGCGUGCGGACCAGUAAGCCGCGCGACAAAAGUGAAGCUUCAGCGCAGAGAUAUGCGAAAGUAAUGAAAACAAAAAAAUAAACACAACAACAACUAUCUGACUAAGCGCGUCACAUACACACACACACACACAAAUAAUCUACUUACCACAAAGUAUCAUCGUAUUGGUUAGUCACAAUGCCGCGCGGCAGCGCGUUGAAUGUGAAAUUCGAAAAAAAAGAAAAAAAUUAACACGAAAAAGAAUGAAAUCAAAUAAAACGCAGCCAAGCUCGGCGCGACGUCAGACAAAUAGCGAAAUAGUACCGCUAAAAUUAAUAAAAAGUAACAGCAACAAAAACGGUAUUUGUAGUAAAACGGCCAAUAAACUGUGAGCGCUGAGUUCAAGGCCUAGCCAAAUGGCAAAAGCAACAACCGAAAACAGACGUGAAAAUAAAAACAACAACAACAAUGCAAUGAAAUACACACAAUGGAAUUGGGUAAACGCUAUAAUAAAAGCACGCGCUCAACGCAAAAUUCGACGCGCGGCGGCAACGCACAAAACAGCAAGCAAAAUGAAAAAAAAAAAAAAUACUAAUACUAGCGAAAAAAAAGUGAUUAUGAUUAUAAAAUGGCAGAGAAAGAAAAUAAAAUAGAGAAAAUAUACAUAAAACGCAACACGGCAUAACGCACACGCUUGUGAAAUUAAAAAAAAAAAAAAAAAAAAAAA